This 2900-nucleotide ribosomal RNA is filed under the name Klebsiella pneumoniae subsp. pneumoniae. RNAcentral describes it as "bacterial LSU rRNA". It matches the Rfam family "Bacterial large subunit ribosomal RNA". The record is from RNAcentral. Lineage: Bacteria; Pseudomonadati; Pseudomonadota; Gammaproteobacteria; Enterobacterales; Enterobacteriaceae.
UUAAGCGACUAAGCGUACACGGUGGAUGCCCUGGCAGUCAGAGGCGAUGAAGGACGUGCUAAUCUGCGAAAAGCGUCGGUAAGGUGAUAUGAACCGUUAUAGCCGGCGAUGUCCGAAUGGGGAAACCCAGUGCAAUUCGUUGCACUAUCGUUAACUGAAUACAUAGGUUAACGAGGCGAACCGGGGGAACUGAAACAUCUAAGUACCCCGAGGAAAAGAAAUCAACCGAGAUUCCCCCAGUAGCGGCGAGCGAACGGGGAGCAGCCCAGAGUCUGAAUCAGCUUGUGUGUUAGUGGAACGGUCUGGAAAGUCCGACGGUACAGGGUGAUAGUCCCGUACACCAAAAUGCACAGGCUGUGAACUCGAAGAGUAGGGCGGGACACGUGGUAUCCUGUCUGAAUAUGGGGGGACCAUCCUCCAAGGCUAAAUACUCCUGACUGACCGAUAGUGAACCAGUACCGUGAGGGAAAGGCGAAAAGAACCCCGGCGAGGGGAGUGAAAAAGAACCUGAAACCGUGUACGUACAAGCAGUGGGAGCACCUUCGGGUGUGACUGCGUACCUUUUGUAUAAUGGGUCAGCGACUUAUAUUCUGUAGCAAGGUUAACCGUAUAGGGGAGCCGCAGGGAAACCGAGUCUUAACUGGGCGUUAAGUUGCAGGGUAUAGACCCGAAACCCGGUGAUCUAGCCAUGGGCAGGUUGAAGGUUGGGUAACACUAACUGGAGGACCGAACCGACUAAUGUUGAAAAAUUAGCGGAUGACUUGUGGCUGGGGGUGAAAGGCCAAUCAAACCGGGAGAUAGCUGGUUCUCCCCGAAAGCUAUUUAGGUAGCGCCUCGUGAACUCAUCUUCGGGGGUAGAGCACUGUUUCGGCUAGGGGGUCAUCCCGACUUACCAACCCGAUGCAAACUACGAAUACCGAAGAAUGUUAUCACGGGAGACACACGGCGGGUGCUAACGUCCGUCGUGAAGAGGGAAACAACCCAGACCGCCAGCUAAGGUCCCAAAGUCAUGGUUAAGUGGGAAACGAUGUGGGAAGGCACAGACAGCCAGGAUGUUGGCUUAGAAGCAGCCAUCAUUUAAAGAAAGCGUAAUAGCUCACUGGUCGAGUCGGCCUGCGCGGAAGAUGUAACGGGGCUAAACCAUGCACCGAAGCUGCGGCAGCGACACUAUGUGUUGUUGGGUAGGGGAGCGUUCUGUAAGCCUGCGAAGGUGUGCUGUGAGGCAUGCUGGAGGUAUCAGAAGUGCGAAUGCUGACAUAAGUAACGAUAAAGCGGGUGAAAAGCCCGCUCGCCGGAAGACCAAGGGUUCCUGUCCAACGUUAAUCGGGGCAGGGUGAGUCGACCCCUAAGGCGAGGCCGAAAGGCGUAGUCGAUGGGAAACAGGUUAAUAUUCCUGUACUUGGUGUUACUGCGAAGGGGGGACGGAGAAGGCUAUGUUAGCCGGGCGACGGUUGUCCCGGUUUAAGCAUGUAGGCUGGUUGUCCAGGCAAAUCCGGAUAAUCAAGGCUGAGGUGUGAUGACGAGGCACUACGGUGCUGAAGUAACAAAUGCCCUGCUUCCAGGAAAAGCCUCUAAGCAUCAGGUAACAUUAAAUCGUACCCCAAACCGACACAGGUGGUCAGGUAGAGAAUACCAAGGCGCUUGAGAGAACUCGGGUGAAGGAACUAGGCAAAAUGGUGCCGUAACUUCGGGAGAAGGCACGCUGGUGUGUAGGUGAAGUCCCUGCGGAUGGAGCUGAGACCAGUCGAAGAUACCAGCUGGCUGCAACUGUUUAUUAAAAACACAGCACUGUGCAAACACGAAAGUGGACGUAUACGGUGUGACGCCUGCCCGGUGCCGGAAGGUUAAUUGAUGGGGUUAUCCGUAAGGAGAAGCUCUUGAUCGAAGCCCCGGUAAACGGCGGCCGUAACUAUAACGGUCCUAAGGUAGCGAAAUUCCUUGUCGGGUAAGUUCCGACCUGCACGAAUGGCGUAAUGAUGGCCAGGCUGUCUCCACCCGAGACUCAGUGAAAUUGAACUCGCUGUGAAGAUGCAGUGUACCCGCGGCAAGACGGAAAGACCCCGUGAACCUUUACUAUAGCUUGACACUGAACAUUGAGCCUUGAUGUGUAGGAUAGGUGGGAGGCUUUGAAGCGUGGACGCCAGUCUGCGUGGAGCCAACCUUGAAAUACCACCCUUUAAUGUUUGAUGUUCUAACGUUGGCCCCUUACCGGGGUUGCGGACAGUGUCUGGUGGGUAGUUUGACUGGGGCGGUCUCCUCCCAAAGCGUAACGGAGGAGCACGAAGGUUAGCUAAUCCUGGUCGGACAUCAGGAGGUUAGUGCAAUGGCAUAAGCUAGCUUGACUGCGAGCGUGACGGCGCGAGCAGGUGCGAAAGCAGGUCAUAGUGAUCCGGUGGUUCUGAAUGGAAGGGCCAUCGCUCAACGGAUAAAAGGUACUCCGGGGAUAACAGGCUGAUACCGCCCAAGAGUUCAUAUCGACGGCGGUGUUUGGCACCUCGAUGUCGGCUCAUCACAUCCUGGGGCUGAAGUAGGUCCCAAGGGUAUGGCUGUUCGCCAUUUAAAGUGGUACGCGAGCUGGGUUUAGAACGUCGUGAGACAGUUCGGUCCCUAUCUGCCGUGGGCGCUGGAGAAUUGAGGGGGGCUGCUCCUAGUACGAGAGGACCGGAGUGGACGCAUCACUGGUGUUCGGGUUGUCAUGCCAAUGGCACUGCCCGGUAGCUAAAUGCGGAAGAGAUAAGUGCUGAAAGCAUCUAAGCACGAAACUUGCCCCGAGAUGAGUUCUCCCUGAGACUUUAAGUCUCCUGAAGGAACGUUGAAGACGAUGACGUUGAUAGGCCGGGUGUGUAAGCGCAGCGAUGCGUUGAGCUAACCGGUACUAAUGAACCGUGAGGCUUAACCUU